RNAcentral lists this ribosomal RNA (262 nucleotides) under uncultured bacterium. Its description in RNAcentral is "partial 16S ribosomal RNA". It matches the Rfam family "Bacterial small subunit ribosomal RNA", at positions 793 to 1055 of the family's 1533-position model. The record is from RNAcentral.
GUCCACGCCGUAAACGAUGAAUGCUAGCCGUUGGGCAGCUUGCUGUUCAGUGGCGCAGCUAACGCAUUAAGCAUUCCGCCUGGGGAGUACGGCCGCAAGGUUGAAACUCAAAGGAAUUGACGGGGGCCCGCACAAGCGGUGGAGCAUGUGGUUUAAUUCGACGCAACGCGCAGAACCUUACCAGGGUUUGACAUCCUGCGACCGCUCCCUAAUAGGAGUUUUCCCGCAAGGGACGCAGAGACAGGUGCUGCAUGGCUGUCGU